CGAGCGGCACAGCCAGAUGGGGCGUGGCGGCCAAUAGCCAUGAAGUUCAAUCGCGAACGAUGAUUGAUUGAGAGGUAAAUUUCAUCGCCUAUAUAUUCAUAUUCAUGCCAAUUGAUUAAUUGAGAGGUUAAUCAUGUAUGCCAAUUGAUUAAUUGAGAGGUUAAUCAUGUCUCCGUAUAUUCAUGCCAGCCUAUAAAAUCCCAACCUUGCCCCUAUUGGGCUCAUUUUCGCAAACCAAUCUCCAGUACAAAAGUGAUGGGUGAUGCUCAGGUUCCAACUCUGUUUGGUUUCAAGGUGAUGUGCUGGUUCCAAUUCUCAGUUGUUGUCUUCAUAAUUUUAAAUGAUUACAGCUUCUCUCCAAGUAGGAAUUUUCGCUACAUUCUGGUUGGUUUCUUUGGUUCUUACAGCUGAUCUAAUGGCUAACGGAGAGGUUAGUACCAGUUUCCUCUUAUGCCUCCUUUAAUUAUGCCUCAUCUCACAAUCUGUUCAUUGUAGUACGCCAGUACAUACCUUCUAUUGUAUGAUAUGAUUUCUCUCUAUGAUUGUUUGAAAUAAUCAAAAGUACCACCUACUUUUCCUGCCAUAUGUAGCAGGUUAUUUAGAAAGUGAAAAAUGCGGAAAAGAAGCCACGAUUAAUGCCAGUCGAUGCUUCGGGCAGGUCAGUUACAAUGGCAAUUCAGGUUUUCCAUUCAAUUCAUGCGAGCCCAUAUAAUACCAACCUUGCCGCUACUCCUUUCCCACACUGCUCACAUUGGCAAACCAUUCUCCAGCACAUAGCGAUGGAUGGAUGAUGCUUAAGUCUCUAGCCGUUUCAAUUCUCCUUGUUUGCUGCAUCUCCUCUUCACCUAAUUCUUCCUCUGUUUUUAGUGAUACUGUUCUUUGUUUUAAAUAACGCAGGUUUCACACGUUGACAGAUUUCAGGCUGGUUCUGCUGGGUUAGAAGGUGAUGCACGGGUUCCAAUUAUCAAUUGUUUCUACAUAUAUAUACUGAUGUGUUCUCCGUCUAAUUUCCCAUGCCCAAACUCUCCAGUUGUACUCGAUAUGAAACUACUUGGAUGGACCAGCAUACAAGAAUUUCUAAGAAAGUCAUAGCAGCGCUCCUCUCAUGCUUUGGAGAAAGUGUACGUUAAUCUUGAGAUUUGUAUCUUUAGUUCUUUGAUUUACUUCUAAACAUGUUACAUUCACUGAUUGCUCUGCCCACGUACAGGAACCGUAUGAUCUUCAUGUUAUUUGUGUCAACCAUAAUGUGUCUGGCCCAUGGCCCUGUGUACUGCACCGAUGCUGACAAACCCAUUUUCAUAUUCCAUCACAUUCAUGUUAAUUUUCUGACAAGACCAAGGGAUGGAAAUCCAAAACUCCUAAAUAUACUCAUGAGAUGCAAAUCACGUGGAUCAACCUUGUGAAGGAACACCAACAACACAAUCGAUUUCACAUAAGGUAAGAUGCAGGCUUUGGAUUUUCAGUAAGAAAUUUUGUAAGGCGACUCCAGGACCAACAGAACCGAUGGUAUAGUGAAAUACAUCUACUAAUCAAAACUACCUAUUACAUGUCUCGAUUCAUACUCCCUCCGUCCGAAAAUACUUGUCAUCAAAAUGGAUAAAAAGGAAUGUAUCUAGAACUAAAAUACAUCUAGAUACAUCCCAUUUUAUUCAUUUUGAUGACAAGUAUUUCCGGACGGAGAGAGUACAUACUAACCACCAGCACGCUGGAAGAAGAUAACAUGCUUCCUAAUUUCCUGAUCGCCAGCUCGGCCUUGGUCGCUGUUGGCAAUUGGUUAUCUUGUCAGUAUUUCACAAUUAGGAUUAUGCAUUCCCAUGCUUCUCUUAGCUUGAUGCUCAUUCCCGUACUAUUUUAUUCAACUAGACGGAUGUGUUUCUUGCCCUGUUCUGAAUCUCUCUAAUUCUUGUGUGUAAGUGGAUAUGUAUAUGUUUUUAUUAUUUAAUAUCUGUUAAAAACGUAAAAUAUUAUGAUACAUACUUAUAAAUUUAGUUCAGUUAAAAUUUUCCAAGUUUUAUUUAAAUAGAAGUGUUCAUAUCCUCAUAUCUCAUUUUUUAGGCUGCAAAAAUUGUAAUUUAUGGGGAAGUUGUGGUGCAGCCAACCAAAGGCGUGGAUGUUGCCAGCGGCCACAAGGAUAUCUAAUUAUGUCAUUUUUGUUGGCAUAAUCUGGUUGCUGCAGCCAGUGAACUAUGAGAGACUUUGAGCACUCGAAAGCAACUAACCAAAUUUAAGAUUCACAAACAAUGAAGAUUUCGUUGGUGCACUAUAUAUGUAUACUGGUAUAUGUUUAUUUCAUAUUUGUGUUGUUGCUUAUUAUCGGUCUUGAAGAUACAGAUUAGCUAUAUUUACCAAGUGCACACUUAUACCAAAGCCCAUGUGUACAUAUGAUAUUUCUCUCCAUUACUGACUAAUAGACGUUUCUGUUUGUGCAAACUUAUAUAUUUCAUGAAUUCAUAUAUUUAUU
This 2461-nucleotide long non-coding RNA is filed under the name Triticum aestivum (bread wheat). RNAcentral describes it as "long non-coding RNA (TAES_LNC027554)". The stretch from base 1556 to 1690 matches the Rfam family "MIR1120/MIR1122 microRNA precursor family". Lineage: Eukaryota; Viridiplantae; Streptophyta; Magnoliopsida; Poales; Poaceae. The record is from RNAcentral.